RNAcentral lists this ribosomal RNA (683 nucleotides) under uncultured bacterium. RNAcentral's name for it is "bacterial SSU rRNA". It matches the Rfam family "Bacterial small subunit ribosomal RNA", at positions 619 to 1315 of the family's 1533-position model. The record is from RNAcentral.
GAGGCCGUUCUAAACUGCAGAACUAGAGGAUGGUAGAGGGAGGUGGAAUUCCAGGUGUAGCGGUGGAAUGCGCAGAUAUCUGGAGGAACACCAGUGGCGAAAGCGGCCUCCUGGACCAUUGUGACACUCAGACGCGAAAGCUAGGGUAGCAAACGGGAUUAGAGACCCCGGUAGUCCUAGCCCUAAACGAUGUAGACUAGACGUCGGUGGUGUAAUAGCUGUCGGUGUCCAAGCUAACGCGAUAAGUCUACCGCCUGGGGACUACGGCCGCAAGGUUAAAACUCAAAGGAAUUGACGGGUCCCCGCACAAGCAGCGGAGCGUGUGGUUUAAUUCGUUGCUACACGAAGAACCUUACCUGGGUUUGACAUAGCAGUGGUAGGGAAGAGAAAUCGGACCGACCCUUCGGGGAGCUGUUACAGGUGUUGCAUGGCUGUCGUCAGCUCGUGUCGUGAGAUGUUCGGUUAAGUCCGCUAACGAGCGCAACCCGCGUUGUGUGUUAUAUGUGUCACACAAUACCGCCGGUAUUAAGCCGGAGGAAGGUGCGGAUGACGUCAAGUCAGCAUGACCUUUAUAUCCAGGGCUACACACACGCUACAAUGGACAGUACAACAGGUUGCCAAGCCGCGAGGCGGAGCCAAUCCUCUAAAGCUGUCCUCAGUUCAGAUUGCAGGCUGCAACUCGC